RNAcentral lists this ribosomal RNA (254 nucleotides) under uncultured bacterium. RNAcentral describes it as "partial 16S ribosomal RNA". It matches the Rfam family "Bacterial small subunit ribosomal RNA", at positions 524 to 776 of the family's 1533-position model. The record is from RNAcentral.
CACGUAGGGGGCGAGCGUUGUCCGGAUUUAUUGGGCGUAAAGAGCUCGUAGGCGGCUCAGUAAGUCGGGUGUGAAACCCCCGGGCUCAACCCGGGGACGCCACCUGAUACUGCUGUGGCUUGAGUCCGGUAGGGGAGCGUGGAAUUCCUGGUGUAGCGGUGAAAUGCGCAGAUAUCAGGAGGAACACCAGCGGCGAAGGCGGCGCUCUGGACCGGUACUGACGCUGAGGAGCGAAAGCGUGGGGAGCAAACAGG